Molecule: small RNA, 126 nt
Filed under: Marmota monax (woodchuck)
Lineage: Eukaryota; Metazoa; Chordata; Mammalia; Rodentia; Sciuridae
Source: RNAcentral
GCUGGGUGUGGUGCACACACCUGUAAUCCCAACUGCUCGGGAGGCAGAGGCAGGAGGAUGGCGAAUUCAAAGCCAGCCUCAGCAAUUUAGUGAAGUGCUAAGCAACUCGGUGAGAUCCUGUCUCUA